Molecule: ribosomal RNA, 471 nt
Filed under: uncultured bacterium
Lineage: Bacteria
Description: bacterial SSU rRNA
Rfam family: Bacterial small subunit ribosomal RNA
Source: RNAcentral
GACGAACGCUGGCGGCGUGCCUAACACAUGCAAGUCGAACGGAAGUAAGACUCCGGUUUUACUUUAGUGGCGAACGGGUGAGUAACGCGUGAGAAACCUGCCUUUCAGUGGGGGACAACAGUUGGAAACGACUGCUAAUACCGCAUAAUGUACGCGGACCGCAUGAUCUGUGUACCAAAGCUUUAUGUGCUGAAAGAUGGUCUCGCGUCUGAUUAGCUAGAUGGCGGGGUAAUGGCCCACCAUGGCGACGAUCAGUAGCCGGUCUGAGAGGAUGAACGGCCACAUUGGGACUGAGAUACGGCCCAGACUCCUACGGGAGGCAGCAGUGGGGAAUAUUGGGGCAAUGGGGGAAACCCUGACCCAGCAACGCCGCGUGAAGGAAGAAGGCCUUCGGGUUGUAAACUUACUUUACCUACGGACGGAAGAACGUGACGGUACCUGGAGAAAAAGCAACGGCUAACUACGUGCCAG